ACGGAAGGCAGCAGUGGGGAAUAUUGCACAAUGGGGGAAACCCUGAUGCAGCGACGCCGCGUGAGUGAAGAAGUUAUUCGUAAUGUAAAGCUCUAUCAGCAGGGAAGAAAAUGACGGUACCUGACUAAGAAGCCCCGGCUAACUACGUGCCAGCAGCCGCGGUAAUACGUAGGGGGCAAGCGUUAUCCGGAUUUACUGGGUGUAAAGGGAGCGUAGACGGCUUAGCAAGUCUGAUGUGAAAGGCAGGGGCUAAACUCCUGGACUGCAUUGGAAACUGUUAAGCUAGAGUGCCGGAGAGGUAAGCGGAAUUCCUAGUGUAGCGGUGAAAUGCGUAGAUAUUAGGAGGAACACCAGUGGCGAAGGCGGCUUACUGGACGGUAACUGACGUUGAGGCUCGAAAGCGUGGGGAGCAAACAGGAUUAGAUACCCUGGUA
Molecule: ribosomal RNA, 434 nt
Filed under: uncultured Lachnospiraceae bacterium
Lineage: Bacteria; Bacillati; Bacillota; Clostridia; Lachnospirales; Lachnospiraceae
Description: partial 16S ribosomal RNA
Rfam family: Bacterial small subunit ribosomal RNA
Source: RNAcentral